Molecule: non-coding RNA, 629 nt
Organism: Phascolarctos cinereus (koala)
Lineage: Eukaryota; Metazoa; Chordata; Mammalia; Diprotodontia; Phascolarctidae
Source: RefSeq, a predicted model, not a curated record
AAUAAUUACUGCUGGGGUACAGCCAAGAUAGUGGAGUGAAAGCCGGAACUCGGCUGAGUUCUUCCCCAAACUCCUUCAAAUAACUCUAUAAAGUGACUCUGAACAAAUACUAGAGUGGUAGAACCCACAAAGAGACAGAAUGAGACAGAUUCCCAACCCACAACAACCUGGAAGGUCCACAAGAAAGGUCAGUUGCACCAGCCUGAGAGAGGAGAGUGCAGCUCAGAGGGUGCAGUGCAAACCUGGCCGAAGCAAAGAUGGAGCAGGCCCCACGGAGACUGGAUCACUGGCAAUAGAUGACCUGAAAUUAUCCUGCAAGAUUGAAAAUGGGGGCUACUGCAUAUUUUACUAAUUAGUGGAGCCAAAAGUGAGAAAACAAAAUUGGUGGUUGUCAUUUUCUGCACUUGCAAUGUGGGGACAGUAUACACUCCCAUUUUAUGCAACCCAGUUAAGGAGUUCAACAAAGAGAAAGCAUGUGCAAAAAGGGCUGAGAUAUUUCACUGCUAUAUUUUGUUGACCAUGGAGAAAGGGCAACAUUUCUGACAAGAGACUAUGCUCCUGACUAUUAGUCACCACUCAUAUUGGAAACAGUUCAAGCCAUUGGAACUAAUCAAAGGAGUCACCUUGUC